This is a long non-coding RNA of Medicago truncatula (barrel medic), 851 nucleotides long. RefSeq lists it as uncharacterized. The transcript is spliced from 3 exons. The record is from RefSeq and is a predicted model, not a curated record. Lineage: Eukaryota; Viridiplantae; Streptophyta; Magnoliopsida; Fabales; Fabaceae.
UAAAAAAGUGAUGUUUGUUUCAUAGUUUUGACUUUUGAAUAUUCAUUGGUUUUGGUUAGAAAGCUUCUAAGGUUUGGAAUUUGUGUAUGUGUACAUAUUUAUCAUUUGACAAAUACUAUAUUCAUACAUCGUCGCCGUAAUAAUUUGAAAUUGAAUUAAUUUAAUCUAAUUACAUGCGGUGGUGUUGGGUCAGUAGCUGAGUUGUAGUUUUUAUUAUUAUGGCUGGUUGUGUGUUGAAUCCAUAUAGGUGGUACCAUUGUGUUGGUUUGUUGUUUAUGUUCCUGAUUAUGUGAGAGCCAUUUCAUUUAUAUAAUUAAGAAAAUUAGAAAAUACUAAUAUAAGACAGAGCAUAUUUGAUAUGAAUUUUUUUGGUGGUGAUAUUUGAUAUGAAUUUGGUGUCAAUAUGUUCUGUUUUGUUUUUCAUUCCCAAUUUAAUUAGCUUAUAAUGGCAGGGAUGCUUUGAAACAAUUGUAGGAGGUACAAUUUUGUUAUCCAAGAAGUUAGAUCAAUCAAGCUUCAGGCAGUCCCAUUUGUGAGUAUUAAGGAAAAGACAUCCUAAGCCUAAGAUAAAGAACAAAGUUAGCAUCACUGGACUUCAUAUGCUAUGAUGUGCUGCCUUUGGAUGCAUUUGCAUAGGGAACCAAGUUAAGCUUUACAAGCCUCACAGACCUCAGAUGCAAUGCAACACUUGACUUCAUAGGCUAUAGUUUCGGUUACUUUAAUUUAUGUAUUUUUAUUAGAUCAAAUAUUAUGAUCUUUUUUAUUCUAUGGAACUUUAAAUUUUAUAUCAUCUAUUGGCGCACUUGUUCAUGUUUUGUUGUAUAAAGAAAUUACAUGUGCUUUUGAUUAAG